This 1436-nucleotide long non-coding RNA is filed under the name Struthio camelus australis. Its description in RNAcentral is "lncRNA (ENSSCUG00000014477.1)". Lineage: Eukaryota; Metazoa; Chordata; Aves; Struthioniformes; Struthionidae. The record is from RNAcentral.
GUGAAGGUGUGUCCUCAAGAAAGGGGACAUGAAAAGGAUACAUGUCCCACAGCAAAGUGAAAAGAUAGCAAUUUCCCUGCUUUUUGUUGGGUGUCUGUAUGGAAGCAACCAGGGAAAAGAGAGGAGUCAAUAGAGCUGGGAGCAGGACAAUCACUGCGUCAAAUAAUGUAGUGCUGCAGAGACAGAGGCAAGCCAAGUUGCAUCUAUAAGUCCUCCAGAAGAAGUGUAACCUGCCUGUGGCCAAAUGUGGGUAGCUACCACGCAGAUAUCUCCGACUGAAGCAUUGAUUCUGGUGCUUUUCUUCAUCAUUGUAGAGCUCCUCGGUAGAAUCAUCCUACUUCAGGGACUCAUCCUCUGCCAAGGCGGUAGACAACGGAGGUUAUUUACCAAACAGAGGUACUGCUGCAGAAAGGGCAAACAGAUUAAGGAACUCUGAGCUCCAACACGCUGAUAAGAAAAUUGCAUCUGUCUGCCCAUGUAAAAGCAACAGGGGUGAAUGGGCAUAAGAGGUAACCUUCGCUCUGGUUGUUCUGGGUCAUGGGCCCACGGGAGCAAAACCUAACCAGUCUCUGCUGAUUUUUCGGGGUAUGUUCCUGUAUUCUGGCUACCGCAGUUCCUGAGCCACCGAUUGCUAGAGAACAUAUCAUGGACACAGCACAGCACGUUUAUCUGUCUUUCACAUUUUACCAGGUAGAAGACAUGGGCCACUCUCUGAGAGAGAAUACUGCCUAGGUGCACUUUUGGUAGCCCUUCGUUCUCUUAUGUAUAACAAGAAGGGCUGUAACACCAGGAUGUACCAAAUUCUCCCACCGUUCUUGAUCCCAGCGCCUGCAGACAAAAUACACCAACCGUGUACACAGUGAAUACCCCAUCCCAGACUAGAGAAGACAAUCUGUCCAGGGCUCUCCUUUGUUUCAGAUUGAUCCCCAAUUAGGAAAUACCCAUCAGCCAAAAUAGCCUGUUUAUGUGCCACGCGUAGCCUGCUGAAUGGGGAGAACAUCUCUCCCCUUUUACCAAAUGUUUUAAUGCUUGCUGGACAAAAAAAAAACCCACAGCUUUCCCAGUGCUGCCAUAUCAGCAUGCCCUAUAGCAAAAUUAAAUGUUCGAGUAUAGUCCUGACCUAUAAACAUUUCUACCAAUUGAGGCCACGGAUGUUACAAUGAAAUACAUGCGAACCUCAGUGGCACAUAACUGAAUACCCCAAUUGCUUAGAAACAUCUACUGAGUUUUCAAAGGUGCUCUGGGCUUUCAUCGCUUUGAACAUAUCUUGGAAAAAUGGAGGAGUUUUCAGGGGCUGGAGGGUUUGUGAACAUCGCUUAGAGGAGUUAAACGCUGGACUGCAAAGACUGUACCACAGCAAACAAAACUAUGGUUAAUUCAGAAGUUCAUCAAAAAAGAGAAACAAUUCAAAGUUAAAAAUAUCACUGCAGCACCAG